Molecule: long non-coding RNA, 3847 nt
Organism: Lineus longissimus
Lineage: Eukaryota; Metazoa; Nemertea; Pilidiophora; Heteronemertea; Lineidae
Exons: 2
Source: RefSeq, a predicted model, not a curated record
GAUACAAUAGCUAAUUUCGAUUGGAAAUGAGAAACAAAAAAUGCAAAAAUGCAGCACUUUUAUGUACCACAUUGUUCUCGUCCGUCGCCUCCGCUUUCGUUUUCUAUUCUCCAUCAGGAGCAGCAUGGCUGCCAUCUCUUCUUCUUCUGAGUCCAUGUGCGUCGCCGAGAAAAUCCAAGUGACAAAUGAACGAGCGAAAAAUGAUCUGUAUGUAAACCGCCGCGGUCACUCGUGACAAAUGAGGAGUGACACGUGAAAAUGAGCCGUGAGUCGAUGAAAAAUGUGGCGUGAGUAGCUCAUUCCUAUGUAACAUCAGCCUUAGUUAUGAAUGUUUCCUGUAUUGUUAAAUGUUUAGAAAGCUUGUGAGCUUUUGAUUUGGUUAGACAAACAUCAAUGACAAAAACAUUCUCUGGGCCUAUUCGACUAUUUCCCUGUCAUCCAUCCAGCGAUUACUUGAACCUGACCACGGCGUUGUUUCACUUCGGUGACGGGAACGAGUACGUUAACUACAACUGCAUGAAGGAUAUCCCUGCACAGAUCUAGAGUGGAUGACUGAACAUCUCUUGCACUUGGAACUAUAUCAUACAGUAAGUGUAACGUCGACAAUGCAGGAGUUAAUGAAAAAAAUGCGGGUCAUGUCAUUGUACGUUUGUUUUAUCCGAAUUCGUUAAAGGAUGGGCGCAAGAUCUAGCCACCGGAAGUCACCGAUAUAGGUCUCUGAUAUACUCUAUUCUCGGUUUUAAACGACCAGUCCGUUGGCCAUGCGCUAUGCCCCAACCCACGAUUAUAAUACUGCAUUCAUGAAUGGAGGCAUGUCUUCAAGCGCGAAUUCUGUCUGGAUAUUGGCUAGUUCAGCAAUAAAGAUGGUAAUCGUAGGAUCGACGGGUCAUUGAAACGGCUCAGAUCCGUGUGCCAUUGACCAGCCACUUCAUUGAUAUGGACCCGAGUUUUCUACUCGGACAAUUAGGAAAUGAAGACGACAUUCUAUUUAUGAAAUAUAUUGCUGAAUUACACCAGCUUGGGCAACUGUUAGGCCUACAUGGUACGUGAAGCAUAUUGGAUAACACGUACAAGGUGGCUCAGACAAAAACUGCCUCGAACGAGAAGUUACAGUUAGGUCUAAUGGCGCAGCCAGCCGGGAUAAAUUGAAGGAUUCCACCUAAUUCUGUCGCAGAUAGUCCAAAUUGUUCCGCCUGGUAAACCCUGUAACGGUCAAGCAGAAUAAGGAAGUUUCCAUCACGUUCCACCGCCGCGGUCACGUGAGGCUUGCGCUGUCUGAGUGACAUUACAUACUCAGCCAGUAUUUAAAAGAUCUUGGCCUUGAAAUCAGCAACAGUUAUUGAAUAAGGCCUCAUUUCUUUAAAAACAGCUGCGGUAAUUUUACGUGUAUAUCAAUCUAAGGUGUCAGAAUGGAUAGUAAAAUCACAACGCAGGCUACACUUGAGUGCCUUUACAGGGUGACGAAUAUGAUGACAGCCAAAGAUAUAGUAUUAUUCAUCCUGUACGUGCCAUUCAUGUUAUUCUACGUCGCAUCCGGCAUCAUUGGUAACUCUUUAUCAAUCGUCGUUCUGAAUCGUGAGAUGAAGGGUUCGACAUCAUUUCUGCUCAAAGCGCUGGCAAUAUCUGACAACUGGGUCCUCCUAACAUACGGCAUCACGUACUCGCUACCAGCGGUAUACACGUACACGGGACAUCUGGAAGUUUACUACGAAUUCUUUCAGCUUGCCCGCGGAUAUCUGUGGACAUUAACGUGGUACUGGAAGACAGUUUCAACAUACGUCAUGAUAUUUGUAGCAGCUGAGCGAUAUGUUGCAGUUUGCAUGCCUUUAAAGGCAACUUCUCUCUGCACGAUCAAGAACUGCAAAAAAGCGAUUUCGUCCAUCCUAAUUUUCUCUCUCUGUUACAAUUUCCCAAAAUUCUAGUACUGCGAUACCCAGUUCGUAUAUGACCCAUGUGUUAACCGUGUUAGACCUCUGUCCGUUUACAGCAAGCUAGCCGAGUUCAAUGUAUAUUUUGAAUCGAUCUAUAUAAACGCACUAUUUUACAUUGUCUUAUUUUUCAUACCCCUACUCUCUCUCGGUUUCACGGGGAUCAGAAUGGUGCACGUUCUACGAACUAUGAACAGCGGCCUGACUGCUUCAAAGGAACCAGAAAAGCGGGGCGGUCAAACAAACUACAUCACCAAGAGAAUUGUCUUACUAGUGGCCUGUUUUUUCAUCAUAGAGCUACCCUCCACUCUGGUCAACCUAUCUGUGGUCGUGUGGGACCUUGACCUUGACAAGAUUACUAUGACACUUGGUUCCCUGUAUGCCAUAUCGGGUAUGAAUUCAUUCAUCAAUUUCUAUAUUUACUUUCUUACUGGCCACAAAUUUAGGACCAUUUUGAUCAGAAUGUUGACCUGCCAGAGUUAAAAAACAAUGGAAUAUCUUGACAUUUUUCCAAUUUUGUUUCAUUGUCAGUACUAGAAAAAGAACCAAGUUGUUCGUUUGUUUUUGCACGCACAACUCCUGAUGACGCGAGAAACUGGUAUUCACACCUCCUCUCUGUGUACAAGAACCUUAAACGCGAACGUCAUUAAUUGCCAAUAUGUCGUCCUCGCCUCGGCGCUGCGCGUUGCCAAUGCACGGAUCUGCACAAAGAUGAUCGCUGCACGGAGGGCUCACUCGGCUCCAGUCGGGAUUAAAAUCGAUAUAGCCAGAUAAUUCAGUCAGAUUAUGAUUUUCCAAAAAUAUUGUCGAUAGAGACUAAUUAUAAUAGUGUAGAGGGGAUGGUAAAUGGGUAGCCAUGUUAACAACUUGUUAAUAAUGCCCCUGAUGACGCCAUUGGUAUUUGGCAUAACGUUAUGAAUAUAAUUGUGGAGACAGCCAACGAUUUAGCGUUAACCAUUCUCUUAUCUACUACGUCCGGCAACUUGUGUAACUCGUUAUCAAUCGUUGUUAUAUUCUGAAGAGAGUUAUCUAGAUGCUGGUAAUGAUUGACAACUGGACACCAGAACUUAUAUGGCAUCGUGUACAUAGGCCUUCUAACUCUCGCCUUGACGGACACUCAUAAAAAUCUUCGUAGAAUUUUGUCCCAAGAUUCGUGAAACCCGUUAAUAAGAGAAUUAGUCAAGCCAACUUAUUGUUGUGAGUGCAUUUCCCGGCGUUAUUGAUAAUACUACACGUACAUGGGUUAUUAGACGACACAAAACACACUGGAACAAACAAGCACAUAUUGUGACUACAUGUAGUUGACCGGACGAUGUGCUUGUUGCAAAAUACCAACAUUUCUUGAAAUAGUUAAAGAAUAGGCUAUUGCUGCAGCGAAAGACAUUCGCGUCGAAAACCUGGAUUUUGCCUCCGUUUAAAAAAACAUAUUUUUGGAGGAUUCGGGAAUAUAAAAAUUAAACCAAAGUUAGACUGGGUUGAUUGUGGGAUACAAGAAUCGAACCGGAGUUGUACAUCAUCAAUAAGCGGGGCUAAGUAACAUCUUAUGGAACAUCCAGAUAUCAGAUCAGAUAUACGACUGAAAGAAAGGACGCUAAUUGCUAUAAUCAUCUAAAAUAUGAUUAUCUUAAAGCUCAUAGAACAUUGUAUAUGAUAUACUAUGUUCAUGUGGUUUAAGACUAUGAUCAAAGUGGUGUAACAAGCAGUUUUUACAUGAUUCAUAUGGUGGAUCAGUUCAAGGCUAGUCAGCUGGUCAAUCGCCUAAGUGGAAGUGCUAAUCGGGUAUGUUGAGAUUGAAGAUUGCUCCUUGUCCUAGAUUAAUGAGGGAAUCACACUGUUAUAGUUCACACUACCAAAUUAGAACCCAGAUUUUACAGAAGCAAGUAGUACGUGUUUUUAUGUCCAACGACACACAUAUUAGA